Eubalaena glacialis (North Atlantic right whale) is the source of this 693-nucleotide long non-coding RNA. RefSeq lists it as uncharacterized. The transcript is spliced from 3 exons. The record is from RefSeq and is a predicted model, not a curated record. Lineage: Eukaryota; Metazoa; Chordata; Mammalia; Artiodactyla; Balaenidae.
GCCAGAGCUCGCUGUCUCCCCUCCACUUUCCCGGGAGCAAACACGGGGAGACGAAUUUUUACGUCUGUUAAGGCUUCAGAAGGGGCAACUUCUGCCUGCGGGAGAGGAAAGGAUCAAGACAAAGCCACGGCCCGCUCAGCCCUGGGGGAAUGUGAAGGGCCUAAGUCCAGGGCUCAGAGGCCCCCAGUUGGUGCCUGAUGUUCCAGCGCCCUGUGCUCCUUCCUGACUGCCUUGCUUCUGAGGUCAGAGAACUGGACCAAGAGAGCUGCCAAGGCCAGGAGACCAGGCCUUUGGCAAGAAACUUCUCAGAGCCCAGGUCUCCUAAAACCUGUGAAACGGAUUCAAUAAUGGCUCACGUGGGGCUCCGCGAGCAUGAGAGCCAGCCAGCACCACAGCCCGCCCAGGCCGGACUCGGAGCGGUCUCAGCCUCACUCUCCUCGUCUCUGAGACGGUAGCGAUGAUGUUCCCUGCCCACGAGAAUGAAACAAGACGAGCAGAGAAGAGCACUGAGGCUGCUCUGUAGGCCCCAAGACAGCCGCCCUCCCCAGGCCCAGGGGGCCAACUCCACAGAGCCUGCGCCAGCCCUUUAAAUACUGAGAUUUGCCUACAAAAAACACCAGCGUCGGCCCCUCGCCCUCUACUCAUUGAAAAACACAAUGGCUGAAUGUUUCGUUUCUAUAGAAAAUAAAGAGA